CCAAGGCAGCAAGGAAGCAUUCGAGCACGGCUGGGCACUUACAAGCUACGGUGCGUUUAAAAAUGUUUGGGGACACUCGCGUAUAUCUCCAGCUCAGUGAACAGGCACUACAUUGGUGAGUAAAUGAAUUUUAUUUUACAUUUCUAUUUGUUAUUUUAUUUCGUUAGUAUUAAUAGUCACGAAAUAAAAUGACAAAGAUACAAAAAUGUAUCAAAUAAAUCAGCUCACCUGCAAUUUAUAAUGGCGCAUUGUAGUCAGCUUCGUGCACUAAACUUCGUUCAAUCUCAGCUGCUCAACAUUUUCAGUUAUUUGCUGUUGUAUAGCCUAUUCUCAAAAUGCAAAUGAUCUGUUAAUUUUAUUUUCAAAGAAUAAUUUGUUUUGUUAUUGUGUGGUUGGUGUCUUAUAUGAAACGGCGACAUUUUAUUGGGCAGACUUGUUUAUGAUCACACAGCGUAAUUUGGGUGGCAUUUUAUUUAGUAUUUUUUAAAUCUUUUUAUUUUUGACAAUAUCUGUAAAUGUAGUUUCCUGCUCUUAAUUGUGAAUGCAUACUUGUUGGUUUUAAAUGCUCCUGAAAUUAAUGCUGCCUGACGAGCCUAUAUUGUGUUAAUGUUGGUGAUGUCACUGAAGGCCUAAGGUUGAAAUGCACGGCCCGCCACUGAA
Molecule: long non-coding RNA, 660 nt
Organism: Hippocampus zosterae (dwarf seahorse)
Lineage: Eukaryota; Metazoa; Chordata; Actinopteri; Syngnathiformes; Syngnathidae
Exons: 2
Source: RefSeq, a predicted model, not a curated record